UGGGGAAUAUUGGACAAUGGGCGAAAGCCUGAUCCAGCCAUGCCGCGUGUGUGAAGAAGGUCUUCGGAUUGUAAAGCACUUUAAGUUGGGAGGAAGGGCAGUAAGCGAAUACCUUGCUGUUUUGACGUUACCGACAGAAUAAGCACCGGCUAACUCUGUGCCAGCAGCCGCGGUAAUACAGAGGGUGCAAGCGUUAAUCGGAAUUACUGGGCGUAAAGCGCGCGUAGGUGGUUCGUUAAGUUGAAUGUGAAAGCCCCGGGCUCAACCUGGGAACUGCAUCGAAAACUGGCGAGCUAGAGUAGGGCAGAGGGUGGUGGAAUUGCCUGUGUAGCGGUGAAAUGCGUAGAUAUAGGAAGGAACACCAGUGGCGAAGGCGACCACCUGGGCUCAUACUGACACUGAGGUGCGAAAGCGUGGGGAGCAAACAGG
This 429-nucleotide ribosomal RNA is filed under the name Pseudomonadota bacterium. RNAcentral's name for it is "Proteobacteria bacterium partial 16S ribosomal RNA". It matches the Rfam family "Bacterial small subunit ribosomal RNA", at positions 355 to 776 of the family's 1533-position model. Lineage: Bacteria; Pseudomonadati; Pseudomonadota. The record is from RNAcentral.